This 641-nucleotide ribosomal RNA is filed under the name Pseudomonas sp. RNAcentral's name for it is "bacterial SSU rRNA". It matches the Rfam family "Bacterial small subunit ribosomal RNA", at positions 97 to 734 of the family's 1533-position model. Lineage: Bacteria; Pseudomonadati; Pseudomonadota; Gammaproteobacteria; Pseudomonadales; Pseudomonadaceae. The record is from RNAcentral.
GGCGGACGGGUGAGUAAUGCCUAGGAAUCUGCCUGGUAGUGGGGGACAACGUUUCGAAAGGAACGCUAAUACCGCAUACGUCCUACGGGAGAAAGCAGGGGACCUUCGGGCCUUGCGCUAUCAGAUGAGCCUAGGUCGGAUUAGCUAGUUGGUGGGGUAAUGGCUCACCAAGGCGACGAUCCGUAACUGGUCUGAGAGGAUGAUCAGUCACACUGGAACUGAGACACGGUCCAGACUCCUACGGGAGGCAGCAGUGGGGAAUAUUGGACAAUGGGCGAAAGCCUGAUCCAGCCAUGCCGCGUGUGUGAAGAAGGUCUUCGGAUUGUAAAGCACUUUAAGUUGGGAGGAAGGGCAGUAAGCUAAUACCUUGCUGUUUUGACGUUACCGACAGAAUAAGCACCGGCUAACUCUGUGCCAGCAGCCGCGGUAAUACAGAGGGUGCAAGCGUUAAUCGGAAUUACUGGGCGUAAAGCGCGCGUAGGUGGUUUGUUAAGUUGGAUGUGAAAGCCCCGGGCUCAACCUGGGAACUGCAUCCAAAACUGGCAAGCUAGAGUACGGUAGAGGGUGGUGGAAUUUCCUGUGUAGCGGUGAAAUGCGUAGAUAUAGGAAGGAACACCAGUGGCGAAGGCGACCACCUGGAC